Molecule: long non-coding RNA, 373 nt
Organism: Mandrillus leucophaeus (drill)
Lineage: Eukaryota; Metazoa; Chordata; Mammalia; Primates; Cercopithecidae
Exons: 3
Source: RefSeq, a predicted model, not a curated record
GCACUGUGCCUCACAGGCGACGGCUUGGCCCACCUGCAGGCCACCGACCCCCAGCAGCUGCUCCGCCUCAUCCCCCACGUGCAGGUGUUCGCCCGUGUGGCCCCCAAGCAGAAGGAGUUUGUCAUCACCAGCCUGAAGGAGCUGGGCUACGUGACCCUCAUGUGUGGGGAUGGCACCAACGACGUGGGCGCCCUGAAGCACGCUGAUGUGGGUGUGGCGCUCUUGGCCAACGCCCCUGAGCGGGUUGUCGAGCGGCGACGGCGGCCCCGGGACAGCCCAACCCUGAGCAACAGUGGCAUCAGAGCGACCUCCAGGACAGCCAAGCAGCGGUCGGGGCUCCCUCCCUCCGAGGAGCAGCCAACCUCCCAGAGGG